This 352-nucleotide transfer-messenger RNA is filed under the name marine eukaryotic metagenome. It matches the Rfam family "transfer-messenger RNA". Rfam says of the family: Bacterial tmRNA, also known as 10Sa RNA or SsrA, is named for its dual tRNA and mRNA-like properties. Its role is to liberate the mRNA from a stalled ribosome. The record is from RNAcentral.
GGGGCCGAAGUGGCAUUCGACCGGAUAGGGAAGGCUUUGUGUGGCGAGUCGAGGAGCGUGUUAGCCUCGUAAAAAGUACGCAAAAAUUUAUCUGCAGAACCGCAGUACGCACUCGCAGCCUAAUACAGGUUACGGAUCACGGACAUGACGCUUGAUAGUGUCUGUGAUCAAGAUUAUCGAGCUGGUCAAUACCUGGUGUCUCUUGGGGUGUUGGCGAGGAGGUUUCGAGGGGCUGGACCGAAGCACAGGGCGUCAUCUCCCGGUGCAAGGUCGAGAUUAAACAGAUGACUACACUCGUAGAGGCAUAUUGCUGACUAUCCCGGCACGGGGGUUCGAUUCCCCCCGGCUCCAU